Molecule: ribosomal RNA, 253 nt
Filed under: uncultured bacterium
Lineage: Bacteria
Description: partial 16S ribosomal RNA
Rfam family: Bacterial small subunit ribosomal RNA
Source: RNAcentral
UACAGAGGGGGCAAGCGUUGUUCGGAAUUACUGGGCGUAAAGGGCGCGUAGGCGGCCAACUAAGUCAGACGUGAAAUCCCUCGGCUUAACCGGGGAACUGCGUCUGAUACUGGAUGGCUGGAGGUUGGGAGAGGGAUGCGGAAUUCCAGGUGUAGCGGUGAAAUGCGUAGAUAUCUGGAGGAACACCGGUGGCGAAGGCGGCAUCCUGGACCAAUUCUGACGCUGAGGAGCGAAAGCCAGGGGAGCAAACGGG